GCCGAAUGACCGGACCACAAGGUCUUCGAGAUAAGACUCGCGUGCCUUACCGUUGCACAAGGUCCACAGGCACACCAAGAGAACAAACUAAAAGCACAAAAUUCUCCAUGUGCAGAGCUCGGCAAUCUGGCCAUAGAAAGUGUACUACAUUAUACGACCUUUAGGUCAUUUACAGUAUAAAAGAUAGAGGAAAAGAUCCACACUAGAUUUGGG
RNAcentral lists this long non-coding RNA (213 nucleotides) under Setaria italica (foxtail millet). Its description in RNAcentral is "long non-coding RNA (SITA_LNC005821)". The record is from RNAcentral. Lineage: Eukaryota; Viridiplantae; Streptophyta; Magnoliopsida; Poales; Poaceae.